RNAcentral lists this ribosomal RNA (245 nucleotides) under uncultured bacterium. RNAcentral's name for it is "partial 16S ribosomal RNA". It matches the Rfam family "Bacterial small subunit ribosomal RNA", at positions 15 to 288 of the family's 1533-position model. The record is from RNAcentral.
GAUCCUGGCUCAGAGCGAACGCUGGCGGCAGGCCUAACACAUGCAAGUCGAACGGACCCUUCGGGGUUAGUGGCGGACGGGUGAGUAACACGUGGGAACGUGCCUUUAGGUUCAGAAUAGCUCCUGGAAACGGGUGGUAAUGCCGAAUGUGCCCUUCGGGGAAAGGAUUUAUCGCCUUUAGAGCGGCCCGCGUCUGAUUAGCUAGUUGGUGAGGUAACGGCUCACCAAGGCGACGAUCAGUAGCU